RNAcentral lists this ribosomal RNA (262 nucleotides) under uncultured Acholeplasma sp. RNAcentral describes it as "partial 16S ribosomal RNA". It matches the Rfam family "Bacterial small subunit ribosomal RNA", at positions 1125 to 1382 of the family's 1533-position model. Lineage: Bacteria; Bacillati; Mycoplasmatota; Mollicutes; Acholeplasmatales; Acholeplasmataceae. The record is from RNAcentral.
UUAAGUUGGGGACGUCUAGCCGAGACUGCCAGUGAGUAAACUAGGAGGAAGGUGGGGAGUGACGUCAAAUCAUCAUGCCCCUUAUGACCUGGGCUACAAACGUGAUACAAUGGCUGGAACAAAGGGAUGCGAAGCAGUGAUGUGGAGCGAAACCCAUAAAAACAGUCUCAGUUCGGAUUGAAGUCUGCAACUCGACUUCAUGAAGUCGGAAUCGCUAGUAAUCGCGGAUCAGAACGCCGCGGUGAAUACGUUCUCGGGGUUU